GGGGGUGAUUGGUUUCGACAGUACUAUUAUAGUUUGGUGAGAAGCGAGCCGAGAAUGAGUGGUCAUCUCGUAAAUGUCCUGCUCAAGCUUUAAUUGCAAAUAAAAAUGUAGCUAGCCAAAUGGCUCGAGUAGUCUAGGUUCGGGUGGUGCAUAUACGUUUCCGGUGUGCAUUACUUGUCAUUUAAGGAAACUUGCUGUAACGGCGCGUUAACAGCCGUUGUGGGACUUUUGUUAACAGGGUUGGUUAGAGUAAAGUUUACCGAAACUCUAUAACCUCAAAACGCUACGGUAAACUGCGCUCGGAGAAUGCUCUAAACGGUAGUUUUGGACGUGGGUUCAAUUCCCGCCACCUCCACGC
RNAcentral lists this transfer-messenger RNA (358 nucleotides) under Candidatus Ancillula trichonymphae. It matches the Rfam family "transfer-messenger RNA". From Rfam's summary of the family: Bacterial tmRNA, also known as 10Sa RNA or SsrA, is named for its dual tRNA and mRNA-like properties. Its role is to liberate the mRNA from a stalled ribosome. The record is from RNAcentral. Lineage: Bacteria; Bacillati; Actinomycetota; Actinomycetes; Bifidobacteriales; Bifidobacteriaceae.